This 324-nucleotide ribosomal RNA is filed under the name uncultured eukaryote. Its description in RNAcentral is "partial 18S ribosomal RNA". It matches the Rfam family "Eukaryotic small subunit ribosomal RNA", at positions 1470 to 1796 of the family's 1831-position model. The record is from RNAcentral.
CCCUUAGAUGUUCUGGGCCGCACGCGCGCUACACUGAUGCAUUCAACGAGUUUCUUCCUGGUCCGAGAGGAAUGGGUAACCUUUUGAAAGUGCAUCGCGAUAGGGAUAGACUAUUGCAAUUAUUGGUCUUCAACGAGGAAUUCCUAGUAGACGUAGUUCAUCAGACUGCAUCGAUUACGUCCCUGCCCUUUGUACACACCGCCCGUCGCUCCUACCGAUUGAAUGCUCAGGUGAGCCAUUCGGACUUUCAUCAUGCUGGUUUCCAGUUUUGAUGAAGGAAAGUCUUGCGAACCUUAUCAUUUAGAGGAAGGAGAAGUCGUAACA